GAUGAACGCUGGCGGCGUGCCUAAUACAUGCAAGUCGAGCGAACAGACGAGGAGCUUGCUCCUCUGACGUUAGCGGCGGACGGGUGAGUAACACGUGGAUAACCUACCUAUAAGACUGGAAUAACUUCGGGAAACCGGAACUAAUACCGGAUAAUAUAUUGAACCGCAUGGUUCAAUAGUGAAAGACGGUUUUGCUGUCACUUAUAGAUGGAUCCGCGCCGCAUUAGCUAGUUGGUAAGGUAACGGCUUACCAAGGCAACGAUGCGUAGCCGACCUGAGAGGGUGAUCGGCCACACUGGAACUGAGACACGGUCCAGACUCCUACGGGAGGCAGCAGUAGGGAAUCUUCCGCAAUGGGCGAAAGCCUGACGGAGCAACGCCGCGUGAGUGAUGAAGGUCUUCGGAUCGUAAAACUCUGUUAUUAGGGAAGAACAAAUGUGUAAGUAACUAUGCACGUCUUGACGGUACCUAAUCAGAAAGCCACGGCUAACUACGUG
RNAcentral lists this ribosomal RNA (497 nucleotides) under uncultured bacterium. Its description in RNAcentral is "partial 16S ribosomal RNA". It matches the Rfam family "Bacterial small subunit ribosomal RNA", at positions 28 to 507 of the family's 1533-position model. The record is from RNAcentral.